GCGACCAUACCAGCACUAAUGCACCGGAUCCCAUCAGAACUCCGAAGUUAAGCGUGCUUGGGCGAGAGCAGUACUAGGAUGGGUGACCCCCUGGGAAGUCCUCGUGUUGCACCU
RNAcentral lists this ribosomal RNA (114 nucleotides) under Zingiber officinale. Lineage: Eukaryota; Viridiplantae; Streptophyta; Magnoliopsida; Zingiberales; Zingiberaceae. The record is from RNAcentral.